This 211-nucleotide unclassified non-coding RNA is filed under the name Hevea brasiliensis (rubber tree). The record is from RNAcentral. Lineage: Eukaryota; Viridiplantae; Streptophyta; Magnoliopsida; Malpighiales; Euphorbiaceae.
AAUGAUUGUUUGUUAAGUUUAUGGGUUUGAUAAUUGUGGACAGGGGCGGAGUCAAAAAUUUUUUAUUGAGGGGGCCGAACUAAUCAUAAUAUAUCAAUAAAAUUAUAACACAUUUACACAUAUAUAGUGUAUAAAAUAUAUAGAAAAUAAAAUAACACAAAAUAUCAAAUUAUAAGAAUUUUUAAUCAAUUCAACAAAAUUAUAAAAAAAU